Molecule: ribosomal RNA, 712 nt
Filed under: uncultured bacterium
Lineage: Bacteria
Description: partial 16S ribosomal RNA
Source: RNAcentral
CAUCGGUGUUCCUCCGCAUAUCUACGCAUUUCACUGCUACACGCGGAAUUCCACCUCCCUCUGACACACUCUAGCCCGGUAGUUAAAAAUGCAGUUCCAAAGUUAAGCUCUGGGAUUUCACAUCUUUCUUUCCGAACCGCCUGCGCACGCUUUACGCCCAGUAAUUCCGAUUAACGCUUGCACCCUACGUAUUACCGCGGCUGCUGGCACGUAGUUAGCCGGUGCUUAUUCUGCAGGUACCGUCAGUUUCGCGGGGUAUUAACCCGCGACGUUUCUUUCCUGCCAAAAGUGCUUUACAACCCGAAGGCCUUCAUCGCACACGCGGGAUGGCUGGAUCAGGGUUUCCCCCAUUGUCCAAAAUUCCCCACUGCUGCCUCCCGUAGGAGUCUGGGCCGUGUCUCAGUCCCAGUGUGGCUGGUCGUCCUCUCAAACCAGCUACGGAUCGUCGCCUUGGUGAGCCGUUACCCCACCAACUAGCUAAUCCGAUAUCGGCCGCUCCAAUAGUGCAAGGUCUUGCGAUCCCCUGCUUUCCCCCGUAGGGCGUAUGCGGUAUUAGCUACGCUUUCGCGUAGUUAUCCCCCGCUACUGGGCACGUUCCGAUACAUUACUCACCCGUUCGCCACUCGCCACCAGACCGAAGUCCGUGCUGCCGUUCGACUUGCAUGUGUAAGGCAUCCCGCUAGCGUUCAAUCUGAGCCAGGAUCAAACUCUC